UGGGGAAUUUUGGACAAUGGGCGAAAGCCUGAUCCAGCAAUGCCGCGUGUGUGAAGAAGGCCUUCGGGUUGUAAAGCACUUUUGUCCGGAAAGAAAUCCUUGGCUCUAAUACAGUCGGGGGAUGACGGUACCGGAAGAAUAAGCACCGGCUAACUACGUGCCAGCAGCCGCGGUAAUACGUAGGGUGCAAGCGUUAAUCGGAAUUACUGGGCGUAAAGCGUGCGCAGGCGGUUUGCUAAGACCGAUGUGAAAUCCCCGGGCUCAACCUGGGAACUGCAUUGGUGACUGGCAGGCUAGAGUAUGGCAGAGGGGGGUAGAAUUCCACGUGUAGCAGUGAAAUGCGUAGAGAUGUGGAGGAAUACCGAUGGCGAAGGCAGCCCCCUGGGGCCAAAUACUGACGCUCAUGCACGAAAGCGUGGGGAGCAAACAGGAUUAGAUACCCUGGUAGUCCACGCCCUAAACGAUGUCAACUAGUUGUUGGGGAUUCAUUUCCUUAGUAACGUAGCUAACGCGUGAAGUUGACCGCCU
This 528-nucleotide ribosomal RNA is filed under the name uncultured bacterium. RNAcentral's name for it is "partial 16S ribosomal RNA". It matches the Rfam family "Bacterial small subunit ribosomal RNA", at positions 355 to 874 of the family's 1533-position model. The record is from RNAcentral.